CAGAAAGAACACUGGAUUUAGAAUAAAAUUUCCUGAUUCUCACAUCUGCUACUUCCAUCCUGGCUCUCCACCUGUGAUCCUGUGUUGUUAUUUUUAGCAAGGCCUUCUUGUAACUUUUACACAUUUGGAAAAAAGGCAAUCCCCAAUUGAUGGGCAUCUUCUAAAUUUCCAAUGUUCUGCCACUACAAAAAUGGCUGCUAUAAAAAUUUUU
Phascolarctos cinereus (koala) is the source of this 211-nucleotide non-coding RNA. The record is from RefSeq and is a predicted model, not a curated record. Lineage: Eukaryota; Metazoa; Chordata; Mammalia; Diprotodontia; Phascolarctidae.